AUACGGAGGGAGCAAGCGUUAUUCGGAAUCACUGGGCGUAAAGGACGCGUAGGCGGGUUUGUAAGUCAGGUGUGAAAUCCUACAGCUCAACUGUAGAACUGCACUUGAAACUACAGACCUAGAGUAUGGAAGGGGCAGAUGAAAUUAGUGGUGUAGGGGUAAAAUCCGUAGAUAUCACUAGGAAUACCGAAAGCGAAGGCGAUCUGCUGGGACAUUACUGACGCUGAGGCGUGAAAGCGUGGGGAGCAAACAGGAUUAGAAACCCCAGUAGUCC
RNAcentral lists this ribosomal RNA (274 nucleotides) under uncultured bacterium. RNAcentral's name for it is "partial 16S ribosomal RNA". It matches the Rfam family "Bacterial small subunit ribosomal RNA", at positions 523 to 796 of the family's 1533-position model. The record is from RNAcentral.